Molecule: long non-coding RNA, 639 nt
Organism: Canis lupus familiaris (dog)
Lineage: Eukaryota; Metazoa; Chordata; Mammalia; Carnivora; Canidae
Exons: 4
Source: RefSeq, a predicted model, not a curated record
GUUCUAGGGGAAGAGACAGUUAAUAAACAGCUUAAUGUAACCGUGCCAAGUACCAAUUAUUGCCAUGAAGAAAAAUAAAGCAGGAUUCUGGCCUGUAUUGUCUUUGAGAAAUAAGUAAAGAGCUGUCUAUCUGGUCUCCCUGCAAUUUUCAUUAUCCUGGACUCUAAAUGACUUCUUCAUGAUGAAAUGCCCCAGUUGCCCCAAAUCAGGUUUUAGGAUGGUAAUAAAAGAGAACAGAGAUGACAAAACAGUGCUUUGUUAAUGGCUUCAAUUUGCUACGUCAAGGUAAAGAAAAUCUUAGAUCAAACAUCGAGCUCCGUUUCUACAAAUGAUGCCACUGUUUAAGGCAAAAAAUGUUAGUCCCUGAAGCUAAGAAGCAGUAACUUGAUGAGGAAACAAAGGAUGGAAAAAGUGCACCACAUACCUCUAAAUCAUAGAUGGAACAGCUAGUGGGGAAGAAGUACAAGUGACUCAAAAGAAAAAAAGUGAGCCGUUGUAAGUAUUAAGAGUUGAGGAAGAAAAAAAGAGAAAGAAACCAUUCAGAGGGUGAUGAUCAGUCAAACAUAUGUGCAAAAGAAAACUUGCCUCCAUCAGCAAAAUGCACAAAUUAAUAAUUUACCAGUAAGUGGUAAAGGCAUU